This 80-nucleotide transfer RNA is filed under the name Caudoviricetes sp. RNAcentral describes it as "tRNA-Leu". It matches the Rfam family "tRNA". From Rfam's summary of the family: Transfer RNA (tRNA) molecules are approximately 80 nucleotides in length. Their secondary structure includes four short double-helical elements and three loops (D, anti-codon, and T loops). The record is from RNAcentral. Lineage: Duplodnaviria; Heunggongvirae; Uroviricota; Caudoviricetes.
CGCGGAGUGGCGGAAUGGCAGACGCGGCAGAUUUAGGAUCUGUUGCCAUUGGUGUGCGAGUUCGAAUCUCGUCUCCGCGA